AAGGGUUAGUAAUGGAUAGGUAACGUACCCCGAGCUCCGGAAUAGCCAUUCGAAAGGAUGGGUAAUACCGGAUAAUACCAUGUGUCCUAAGGCAUAUGGUCAAAGAUUUAUCGGCGCGGGAGCGGCCUGUCUCCCAUCAGUUUGUUGGUGAGGUAACGGCUCACCAAGGCAGCGACGGGUAGCGGGACUGAGAGGUUGACCCGCAACAUCGGGACUGAGACACUGCCCGGACCUCCACGGAGGGCUGCAGUAACGAAUAUUGCGCAAUGGGCGAAAGCCUGACGCAGCGACGCCGCGUGUAGGAUGAAGUCCCUCGGGAUGUAAACUACUGUCAGGGGUUAGAAAGUCCGGUUCGCCGGAUUGAUCGGCCCCAGAGGAAGUCACGGCUAACUUCGUGCCAGCAGCCGCGGUAAUACGAAGGUGGCUAGCGUUGUUCGGUGUCACUGGGCUUAAAGCGUGUGUAGGCGGAAAAGCAAGCGUUUUGUGAAAGCCCCCGGCUUAACCGGGGAACUGCAAGACGAACUGCUUUUCUUGAGGCAAGCAGGGGUGCGUGGAACUCUUGGUGGAGCGGUGGAAUGCGUAGAUAUCAAGAGGAACGCCGGUGGUGAAGACGACGCACUGGGCUUGUCCUGACGCUGAGACACGAAAGCGUGGGGAGCGAACGGGAUUAGAUACCCCGGUAGUCCACGCCGUAAACGAUGUCUACUAGGUUGUGGGAGUUCUGACACUUUCACGGCCGAAGCAAAAGUGCUAAGUAGACCGCCUGGGGAGUACGGUCGCAAGGCUAAAACUCAAAGGAAUUGACGGGGGCUCACACAAGCGGUGGAGCAUGUGGAUUAAUUCGAAGCAACGCGCAGAACCUUACCUGGGUUUGACAUGCUUGGAUGACUGCCUGGAAACAGGUUAGUCUGCCCUUCGGGGUGAAACUUGCACAGGUGCUGCAUGGCUGUCGUCAGCUCGUGUCGUGAGAUGUCGGGUUAAGUCCUUUAACGAGCGAAACCCUUGCCGUUUGUUUCCACCGGGUAAUACCGAGUAGUCUAACCGGGAGCGUACCGGUGUCAAACCGGAGGAAGGUGGGGACGACGU
This 1086-nucleotide ribosomal RNA is filed under the name uncultured organism. Its description in RNAcentral is "bacterial SSU rRNA". It matches the Rfam family "Bacterial small subunit ribosomal RNA", at positions 102 to 1185 of the family's 1533-position model. The record is from RNAcentral.